AUAAUAUUUUACAGGUGAUUCUCGCAAGGCAGUCGGGGAGGCUGUUUCGGGGAGGCUGUUGCCACUCGGCGGCCCCUGCCUCGUGUUCAUCAUUCCGGAUGCUGUUUAAACAUGCAUUAAUCUUAGGAUCAGAGCGCUGAAUCGUAACCCCCCAACGCAAGUGUUUGUCGCGUAAGGUCGGUAGAAACUUAACUCGCUUCAUCAUUUGAUGCCGCUUCUCUGUGUUGUGGAAAUCACCUAGCUUGUGGCGUACCGGUGCACCACCGACUGCUUAAACAGCCUGAAGGCAUAACCGAUCGCUAACUCAGCGGCGGGAGGUUUGUUCAGAGGUCAGGUCCUGCAAGAGCUCCGGUCUGCUCCACGCCUUGGGAGGUUUAAGCGCUGGCCGGGACUCUGCAAGACGGGAAUCCCUGUUGCGUUCCGCGAGGCUGCUUUCCGUACACGAAGAGACUGCACGAGGGAAGCUGCCGGUCUCUGUGCGAGUCAGAUGCCAUCAAUGUGGAAGCCGGUGUCUUCUCUGCUCCCUUUCCCCCGGGGCCAGCGCCGUGGGUGUAUUCCCGUGGUCAUGCUCUGUGCGCGCUUCCGCCAAGCGCGCCCGGCUGCUUCGAUUCCCCCGGUGCCCCUUGGCCUCGGCCCGGUCUGGCGCUGGGCUUUGCUGCUCUGGCUUCUCUUUAGGGAACAAAACAAAACCCAGCAGCCGCAAGGAGGGCGAGGGAAUGGGUUUGGCUUGCGUGGGCUGGUACGUGGGGAUGGUUUAAAUCAAAAUCAACGAUCGUUACCCUCGUCUCGAGAGGUAAACAGAAUGCAGUGGGGUUUUAUUCCCCCGUGCUGGCUUUCACCACGUUGCGCUCUACAAAGCGGAUCUCUGAGCUCAAAGCCAGGUCCAAACCCGCUGUAGGUUUCGGAUUGCAGCACCGUGUGUGUGUGUGCAUGCACAUACCUAGAUAUUUAUACAACAGGUGUGCACCUCGGGCUUGCUGCUCUUAUUCUUUGGUGGUAAAACGUGCAACUUGGCUCCAAGCUCUUCCCUGAACUGUCAGGCAAGUGCACGGUGCGAGUUCCGUGUGGCCAGAGUUGUGCUUUCUCCUUGCAGCUGCAGGAAACAACAGCAGCUGUUGGCUUGAGUGGUGAACGCGUGGAAGGAUCCUGUUGUAUAAAUAAAUAGGUGGCGUACGAAGCAGAGCGCCGUUCUGCUCGGAAAGGGGAAAGCAAUCUGUUAACUCCCAAAGUCUUCCCUCCUUGCUAGAGUGAGUUUGAACCUGGGUAGCGUUUUUGCGCAGCCUGCUCCAGCUGUUCAAUUUGCGGCGCUUACGGGUUGGACUCGUGAGACCGGGAGCUACUGCAAGUCACCAGACCGAAGUUAGGGUCUGUGUAAGGACACAGCCUGUGGCCAGCGUUCGUGCGAGUGCCACCGAGUUUCUGCCGGUGCUGCUGGGCACAGAGCGCAGCCGAGCUGGCGCUUCCAGAAGCUGAUGCCUGACACAGACCGCGCGGGUUUCCCACCACACAGCAGGCACAGGGGGGGAUUCCUCCUGCCGCCUCCACGUUGGUUCUGUGCGUGUCCGACACGGUCGAUGAGCUCUGACUCUUGCCAAGUCCCAGCCCCUCGCUGUGUCCUCGUUUGGGCGUGCGCCACGUAAGCCAGCUGCUGUCAUUCCUUCCUCUGCUCGUCCCCACCUUCUCCUGCUUUUUUGGGCUGGGCGUGGGGUGUUUGCUUUGCGUUAUCGCCGACAUCCCAGGCCGUUUAUAUUAAUUUGGCAUGUGCGCAGGGCCCUGAGCUAAGUCAUUCACCGGGGGGUUUUGUUGUGCUGGCCUCUUUCUGAAGCCCGAGGGAGCUGAGGACGUAAGGAGGGGAUGCGUUCUGUGCACUUCAACUCGGGCGGGGUGGGGGGAGCCCGUCUAAAAACAAAAAUUGUAAAAAUAAAAAAAUAAAAAAAAAAAAAAAAAACACGAUCGAAGUAUGAAUGCAUCUGAGAAGCAAUUAUAAUAUAGACAUAUAUAUAUUUUGUUAUGUUACUAAAGGACCAUACUUUGAACUGUAUGUAAGUAGAUGUGGCUGUCUGAACCUUGUGGAUUGUAACACUCGAUACUACUGAGCUCCUGUACAUACCCGCAGUUACAGCAGAAGGAAUUAUUUUCUGUUCUAGCAUGGUAAUUUGUGUAUCGUACGUCUGAAUAUAAACUAAAAUAAAGAUCGCUAAGUUAUCUGAAACCACUGUUGUAAAAUAAAUGUUUUCAAUGCAGAAA
This is a long non-coding RNA of Oxyura jamaicensis (ruddy duck), 2247 nucleotides long. RefSeq lists it as uncharacterized. Lineage: Eukaryota; Metazoa; Chordata; Aves; Anseriformes; Anatidae. The record is from RefSeq and is a predicted model, not a curated record. The transcript has 3 exons.